AGAGAGAAACAAAAUGAUUGUGAGAGCAAGUCUCCUGUGUAUAGCACCCUUUUCACCCACAGAUACAAGCGACCACUCUGAAAAUCCUUUGACGACCCUCCAAAAGGAUUCGCGACCCACGGUUUGAGUGUUCUAAAGGCUACAUCAGUGUGUUACAGAUUCUUUACCAUCUGUCUGAUACAGGAGUGCUUCCUGCAUUCCUGAGCCGUUAGAAUCUGGCAAAGGUCCUCCCUUGAGAACUCCAUGUGCACUAAAACCAAACCGAAUUCCCCGCCUCUCAGGGAAAAGUGGCCUCGUCCUUGGGUCUCCUCAAGUGGCUGUGUGAACUACAAAAGCCUCGUCUGUUUAUCCUGACCAGUAAUGCACAGACUCUGGCAAGAGGACCACAAACACAAGUCCAGCCUAGACUACAGUCACCUUGUGCAAUUUAGUAACAAACCAUCACAAAUGAAAGAUUACAAAGGGUUGCAGACAGCUCAGCAGAAGACUGCUCACAGCCUAGUGGAGGACGAUGUAGUGAACCUAGGAACCGGACCACUCCAUGGGGAGAAAGCACGGUUUAUUGGUCAGUUUUAAAAUUACAUGGCAAUCUCUC
Non-coding RNA from Mus caroli (Ryukyu mouse), 595 nucleotides. The record is from RefSeq and is a predicted model, not a curated record. NCBI's taxonomy places the organism in Eukaryota, Metazoa, Chordata, Mammalia, Rodentia, Muridae.